UGCGUAGGCGGACUAAUAAGUCAGUGGUGAAAUCUUUCGGCUCAACCGAGAAACUGCAAUUGAUACUGUUAGUCUUGAGUUCGGUUGAGGUAGGCGGAAUGUGUAAUGUAGCGGUGAAAUGCUUAGAUAUUACACAGAACACCAAUUGCGUAGGCAGCUUACUAGACCGACACUGACGCUGAGGCACGAAAGCGUGGGGAGCGAACAGGAUUAGAUACCCUGGUAGUCC
This 229-nucleotide ribosomal RNA is filed under the name uncultured bacterium. RNAcentral describes it as "partial 16S ribosomal RNA". It matches the Rfam family "Bacterial small subunit ribosomal RNA", at positions 568 to 796 of the family's 1533-position model. The record is from RNAcentral.